CAACAAUCACGUCACAAAUAUGUAGCAACCUAUUUUUUAGUUUUAUAUUAACUGCAAACCCCUGCAUACCAAAUUAUAAAUAAUCAUAACUGGGAAUUAGGGGAACUAGUACAAGGCAUUAUGUGCCUACGGCUAGGCAGAGUAGUGUGGUAACUGCGUGUGUCGCAUACGGCACCGGUUGUGUUUAAUUACUGUAAUUAAGCUUCAAGUAGCGUGUAGCUGUGGUCUUCUCCAG
Molecule: non-coding RNA, 235 nt
Organism: Pelobates cultripes (western spadefoot toad)
Lineage: Eukaryota; Metazoa; Chordata; Amphibia; Anura; Pelobatidae
Source: the annotation of a GenBank genome assembly